GACGAACGCUGGCGGCGUGCUUAACACAUGCAAGUCGAGCGGUAAGGCCCUUUCGGGGGUACACGAGCGGCGAACGGGUGAGUAACACGUGGGUGACCUGCCCUUUAGCUCUGGGAUAAGCCUGGGAAACUGGGUCUAAUACCGGAUAUGACUCCAUGAUGCAUGUUGUGGGGUGGAAAGCCUUGUGCGGCUGGAGAUGGGCCCGCGGCCUAUCAGCUUGUUGGUGGGGUGAUGGCCUACCAAGGCGACGACGGGUAGCCGGCCUGAGAGGGCGACCGGCCACACUGGGACUGAGACACGGCCCAGACUCCUACGGGAGGCAGCAGUGGGGAAUCUUGCGCAAUGGGCGAAAGCCUGACGCAGCGACGCCGCGUGAGGGAUGAC
RNAcentral lists this ribosomal RNA (384 nucleotides) under uncultured bacterium. RNAcentral's name for it is "bacterial SSU rRNA". It matches the Rfam family "Bacterial small subunit ribosomal RNA", at positions 28 to 412 of the family's 1533-position model. The record is from RNAcentral.